CCUACGGGAGGCAGCAGUGAGGAAUAUUGGUCAAUGGCCGCAGGGCUGAACCAGCCAAGUCGCGUGAGGGAUGACGGUCCUAUGGAUUGUAAACCUCUUUUGUCAGGGAGCAAAGGGCGCCACGUGUGGCGCUUUGCGAGUACCUGACGAACAAGCAUCGGCUAACUCCGUGCCAGCCGCCGCGGUAAUACGGGGGAUGCGAGGGUUAUCCGGAUUUAUUGGGUUAAAAGGGUGCGUGGGCGGAAGGUCAAGUCAGCGGUAAAAUUUCGGGGCGCAACCCCGUAGUGCCGUUGAAACUGGCGUUCUUGAGUGAGCGAGAAGUAUGCGGAAUGCGUGGUGUAGCGGUGAAAUGCAUAGAUAUCACGCAGAACUCCGAUUGCGAAGGCAGCAUACCGGCGCUCAACUGACGCUCAUGCACGAAAGCGUGGGUAUCGAACAGGAUUAGAUACCCUGGUAGUC
Molecule: ribosomal RNA, 459 nt
Filed under: uncultured bacterium
Lineage: Bacteria
Description: partial 16S ribosomal RNA
Rfam family: Bacterial small subunit ribosomal RNA
Source: RNAcentral